This 24-nucleotide non-coding RNA is filed under the name Arabidopsis thaliana (thale cress). The record is from RNAcentral. Lineage: Eukaryota; Viridiplantae; Streptophyta; Magnoliopsida; Brassicales; Brassicaceae.
AACGUGUGCAUGAUGGAGGACCUU